CCACAUCUCCUUGGCGGUUGUGCAGCAAGAGAUUUUUCGGUAAUCAUUUGGAUUCACCACACAAUAUAAUACAUGGAUGGCCCUUGCAUUAUUUUCAACUUUCUUGAUGUCCUCGGCAUCAUAUUCAUCUUCCUUCUUUGGAACCGUGGUCUCUCCAACUUUCUUUGUUGGCAUUGGUUCACCAUUUUUUAUGAUUUGCC
Molecule: long non-coding RNA, 200 nt
Filed under: Nicotiana benthamiana
Lineage: Eukaryota; Viridiplantae; Streptophyta; Magnoliopsida; Solanales; Solanaceae
Description: long non-coding RNA (NBEN_LNC034588)
Source: RNAcentral